UGGGGAAUAUUGGACAAUGGGGGAAACCCUGAUCCAGCAAUGCCGCGUGUGUGAAGAAGGCCUGAGGGUUGUAAAGCACUUUCAGUGGGGAGGAGGAUUGUUUGGUUAAGAGCUGAAUAAUUGGACGUUACCCACAGAAGAAGCACCGGCUAACUCCGUGCCAGCAGCCGCGGUAAUACGGAGGGUGCGAGCGUUAAUCGGAAUUACUGGGCGUAAAGAGUGCGUAGGUGGUUUAUUAAGUUAUCUGUGAAAUCCCUGGGCUUAACCUGGGCAGGUCAGAUAAGACUGGUAGACUCGAGUAUGGGAGAGGGUAGUGGAAUUUCAGGUGUAGCGGUGAAAUGCGUAGAGAUCUGAAGGAACACCAGUGGCGAAGGCGGCUACCUGGCCCAAUACUGACACUGAGGCACGAAAGCGUGGGGAGCAAACAGG
RNAcentral lists this ribosomal RNA (429 nucleotides) under uncultured bacterium. RNAcentral describes it as "bacterial SSU rRNA". It matches the Rfam family "Bacterial small subunit ribosomal RNA", at positions 355 to 776 of the family's 1533-position model. The record is from RNAcentral.